Molecule: ribosomal RNA, 253 nt
Filed under: uncultured bacterium
Lineage: Bacteria
Description: partial 16S ribosomal RNA
Rfam family: Bacterial small subunit ribosomal RNA
Source: RNAcentral
UACGUAGGGUGCGAGCGUUGUCCGGAAUUACUGGGCGUAAAGGGCGCGUAGGCGGCCUACUAAGUCGAACGUGAAAUCCCUGGGCUCAACCCAGGAACUGCGUCCGAUACUGGAAGGCUUGAAUCCGGGAGAGGGAUGCGGAAUUCCAGGUGUAGCGGUGAAAUGCGUAGAUAUCUGGAGGAACACCGGUGGCGAAGGCGGCAUCCUGGACCGGCAUUGACGCUGAGGCGCGAAAGCCAGGGGAGCAAACGGG